ACGAACGCUGGCGGCGUGCUUAACACAUGCAAGUCGAACGAGGUCCAUUCAGUAGCAAUAUUGAUGAAGGCCGAGUGGCGAACGGGUGAGUAACACGUGAGGAACCUAUCCUGGUCUCUGGGACAACAGUCGGAAACAACUGCUAAUACCGGAUGCCGUCGGAGCGCUGCAUGGCGCACUGACGAAAGGGUUACUGGAUCAGGAGGGUCUCGCGGCCUAUCAGCUUGUUGGUGGGGUAACGGCCUACCAAGGCAUCGACGGGUAGCUGGUCUGAGAGGAUGAUCAGCCACACUGGGACUGAGACACGGCCCAGACUCCUACGGGAGGCAGCAGUGGGGAAUCUUGCGCAAUGGGCGAAAGCCUGACGCAGCAACGCCGCGUGCGGGAAGAAGGCCUUCGGGUUGUAAACCGCUUUCAGAAGGAACGAAACUGACGGUACCUAGAGAAGAAGCCACGGCCAACUCUGU
Molecule: ribosomal RNA, 467 nt
Filed under: uncultured bacterium
Lineage: Bacteria
Description: bacterial SSU rRNA
Rfam family: Bacterial small subunit ribosomal RNA
Source: RNAcentral